GACGAACGCUGGCGGCGUGCUUAACACAUGCAAGUCGAACGGAAAGGCCCUGCUUUUGUGGGGUGCUCGAGUGGCGAACGGGUGAGUAACACGUGAGUAACCUGCCCUUGACUUUGGGAUAACUUCAGGAAACUGGGGCUAAUACCGGAUAGGAGCUCCUGCUGCAUGGUGGGGGUUGGAAAGUUUCGGCGGUUGGGGAUGGACUCGCGGCUUAUCAGCUUGUUGGUGGGGUAGUGGCUUACCAAGGCUUUGACGGGUAGCCGGCCUGGGAGGGUGACCGGGCACAUUGGGACUGAGGGACGGCCCAGAGUCCUACGGGAGGCAGCAGUGGGGAAUAUUGCACAAUGGGAGGAAGCCUGAUGCAGCAACGCCGCGUGCGGGAUGACGGCCUUCGGGGUGUAAACCGCUGUCGCCUGUGACGAAGCGUGAGUGACGGUAAUGGGUAAAGAAGCACCGGCUAACUACGUG
Molecule: ribosomal RNA, 468 nt
Filed under: uncultured bacterium
Lineage: Bacteria
Description: partial 16S ribosomal RNA
Rfam family: Bacterial small subunit ribosomal RNA
Source: RNAcentral